CACCGGAGCCACGAGUGGGGGUCACAUUUAUUGGGUCUAAAGCAUCCGUAGCCGGAUUUACAAGUCUUUUGUGAAAUUGUCAAGCUUAACUUAACAAAUUGCAAAAGGUACUAUAAAUCUAGGGACCGGGAGGAGACAGAGGUAUUCCAGGGGGAGCGGUAAAAUGUUAUAAUCCCUGGAGGACGACCAGUGGCGAAGGCGUCUGUCUAGAACGGGUCCGACGGUGAGGGAUGAAGGCCGGGGGAGCGAUCAGG
RNAcentral lists this ribosomal RNA (254 nucleotides) under uncultured bacterium. RNAcentral describes it as "partial 16S ribosomal RNA". It matches the Rfam family "Archaeal small subunit ribosomal RNA", at positions 474 to 727 of the family's 1478-position model. The record is from RNAcentral.